Molecule: ribosomal RNA, 524 nt
Filed under: Salmonella enterica subsp. enterica serovar Bovismorbificans
Lineage: Bacteria; Pseudomonadati; Pseudomonadota; Gammaproteobacteria; Enterobacterales; Enterobacteriaceae
Also listed under: 1 other name
Description: partial 23S ribosomal RNA
Rfam family: Bacterial large subunit ribosomal RNA
Source: RNAcentral
UGUGAGGUUAAGCGACUAAGCGUACACGGUGGAUGCCCUGGCAGUCAGAGGCGAUGAAGGGCGUGCUAAUCUGCGAUAAGCGCCGGUAAGGUGAUAUGAACCGUUAUAACCGGCGAUACCCGAAUGGGGAAACCCAGUGUGACUCGUCACACUAUCAUUAACUGAAUCCAUAGGUUAAUGAGGCGAACCGGGGGAACUGAAACAUCUAAGUACCCCGAGGAAAAGAAAUCAACCGAGAUUCCCCCAGUAGCGGCGAGCGAACGGGGAGGAGCCCAGAGCCUGAAUCAGCAUGUGUGUUAGUGGAAGCGUCUGGAAAGGCGCGCGAUACAGGGUGACAGCCCCGUACACAAAAGCGCAUGUGCUGUGAGCUCGAUGAGUAGGGCGGGACACGUGGUAUCCUGUCUGAAUAUGGGGGGACCAUCCUCCAAGGCUAAAUACUCCUGACUGACCGAUAGUGAACCAGUACCGUGAGGGAAAGGCGAAAAGAACCCCGGCGAGGGGAGUGAAAAAGAACCUGAAACCGU